GGAGGGUGCAAGCGUUGUCCGGAUUUAUUGGGGUUUAAAGGGGUGCGUAGGCGGCCUAUUAAGUCAGUGGUGAAAGGUAUCAGCUUAACUGAUGACGUGCCAUUGAAACUGACAGGCUUGAGUACAGACGAGGUAGGCGGAAUUUAUGGUGUAGCGGUGAAAUGCAUAGAUACCAUAAAGAACACCGAUAGCGAAGGCAGCUUACUAGACUGUAACUGACGCUGAGGCACGAAAGCGUGGGGAGCGAACAGGAUUAGAUACCCUGGUAGUCCACGCUGUAAACGAUGAUUACUGGAUGUGUGCGAUAGACAGCACGCGUCUGAGCGAAAGCGUUAAGUAAUCCACCUGGGGAGUACGAUCGCAAAGAUUG
This 370-nucleotide ribosomal RNA is filed under the name uncultured organism. RNAcentral's name for it is "partial 16S ribosomal RNA". It matches the Rfam family "Bacterial small subunit ribosomal RNA", at positions 527 to 896 of the family's 1533-position model. The record is from RNAcentral.